GGGGGAGGAGCCAAGAUGGCCGAAUAGGAACAGCUCCGGUCUACAGCUCCCAGCGUGAGCGACGCAGAAGACGGGUGAUUUCUGCAUUUCCAUCUGAGCAUGCAGCAAUAUGGUGGGGAUGCAUACUACAGCUGAGCUCUGGACAGGAGGUUUUCCAUUUUAUAAGAAACUCAAACCACCAAGAAAACCAGCUUAUCCCACAAAAUAUUUUUACACUUCUCUAGAACUCAGUAAGAGGCCCUCAACGGAUUGGAUGAUGCCUGUCCACGGUCCACAUCGGUGAGGGUGAUUGUCUUUACUCAGCCUAUUGAUUCAAACACUAAUCUCUUCUGGAAACACUCUCAGACUCACCCAGAAGUAAUGUUUUGCCAGCCAUCGGAGCAUCCUCUGGCUUAGGCAAGUUAACACAUAGAAUUAAUCAUCACAGAAGGCAACAGAAAAACCUUUAAAGAAUCAAUAGAAAAUAUGUGCAUCAGAAAAUAUUGCUGGCUUACCCAAAAGCUAUUUCCCUUUUGUUCCUUACUAACAACCCUUACUUUGUUUAUAUUUGAGGAAGUAAUGUACUCAAGGAAGUUUUGUCUCUAACCCAGCAUUCAAGGAUGCCAAGACAAUCACGUUAAUCCCAUUUCCUCUACCAGUGAUUGGUGUGGAGGUGGGCAUAUCACUGACUUCUAACCAAAA
RNAcentral lists this long non-coding RNA (681 nucleotides) under Pan troglodytes (chimpanzee). Its description in RNAcentral is "lincRNA". Lineage: Eukaryota; Metazoa; Chordata; Mammalia; Primates; Hominidae. The record is from RNAcentral.